Long non-coding RNA from Oncorhynchus tshawytscha (Chinook salmon), 504 nucleotides. NCBI's taxonomy places the organism in Eukaryota, Metazoa, Chordata, Actinopteri, Salmoniformes, Salmonidae. The record is from Ensembl.
CGUUGAAUGACUAACACCAGUCAUCUCAUGGACAUGUAGGCAAUCAAUCAAAUAUAAUUAUUGAACAUUGCCCAAUGAGUGGUGGAUAAUUUUGAUAGAAGGUAAAGGUUAUAUCAAGUUUAUGAAUAUUAGUGUAUGGGAUAAAUGGAUGCAGACUGACCCAUCCCUGUUCCACACAGAGGUUGCAUCAUAGCUGAUGUUGCACUGAUGAUGAGACUGCAUCCUAGUGGUUACCUUAAGAUCAUACAGUGAUAAAGCCCUGCCCUCAUCCUCUUAGGCUGCAUGCAAAGUGUUUGCAUUGGUAUUAGUGGGAUUUGUUGAUGUCAGGAUUUGAAUGAGUGUGUGCCCAUCGCGUCAAGGAGAGCAGGCUGGUCUGUGCUCGUGAGGAAAGCAACAUUGCUACACUGAACUAAAGCGGUCUGAUCAUUCUCCUCCUCAAUUGGCCUUGGCGAUAGAACUCUGAAGUCUUCAGUGUCAUCAUCCGUGGUUACCUCAGGGGACCUU